RNAcentral lists this transfer RNA (69 nucleotides) under Mus musculus (house mouse). It matches the Rfam family "tRNA". From Rfam's summary of the family: Transfer RNA (tRNA) molecules are approximately 80 nucleotides in length. Their secondary structure includes four short double-helical elements and three loops (D, anti-codon, and T loops). The record is from Rfam by way of RNAcentral. Lineage: Eukaryota; Metazoa; Chordata; Mammalia; Rodentia; Muridae.
GGUGGCUGAGCUGGUUAAAGCACCUGUCUUGUUAACAGGGCAGCCUGGGUUUGAUUCCCAGAGCCCCCC